This 253-nucleotide ribosomal RNA is filed under the name uncultured bacterium. RNAcentral describes it as "partial 16S ribosomal RNA". It matches the Rfam family "Bacterial small subunit ribosomal RNA", at positions 524 to 776 of the family's 1533-position model. The record is from RNAcentral.
UACGAAGGGGGCUAGCGUUGCUCGGAAUCACUGGGCCUAAAGGGUGCGUAGGCGGGUCUUUAAGUCCGGGGUGAAAUCCUGGAGCUCAACUCCAGAACUGCCUUUGAUACUGAAGAUCUUGAGUUCGGGAGAGGUGAGUGGAACUGCGAGUGUAGAGGUGAAAUUCGUAGAUAUUCGCAAGAACACCAGUGGCGAAGGCGGCUCACUGGCCCGAUACUGACGCUGAGGCACGAAAGCGUGGGGAGCAAACAGG